RNAcentral lists this ribosomal RNA (403 nucleotides) under bacterium. RNAcentral's name for it is "partial 16S ribosomal RNA". It matches the Rfam family "Bacterial small subunit ribosomal RNA", at positions 355 to 776 of the family's 1533-position model. The record is from RNAcentral.
UGGGGAAUAUUGCACAAUGGGGGAAACCCUGAUGCAGCGACGCCGCGUGAACGAAGAAGGUAUUCGUAUCGUAAAGUUCUGUCCUAUGGGAAGAUAAUGACAGUACCAUAGAAGAAAGCUCCGGCUAAAUACGUGCCAGCAGCCGCGGUAAUACGUAUGGAGCGAGCGUUGUCCGGAAUUAUUGGGCGUAAAGGGUACGCAGGCGGUUUAAUAAGUCGAAUGUUAAAGAUCGGGGCUCAACCCCGUAAAGCAUUGGAAACUGACAAACUUGAGUAGUGGAGAGGAAAGUGGAAUUCCUAGUGUAGUGGUGAAAUACGUAGAUAUUAGGAGGAAUACCAGUAGCGAAGGCGACUUUCUGGACACAAACUGACGCUGAGGUACGAAAGCGUGGGGAGCAAACAGG